RNAcentral lists this long non-coding RNA (1819 nucleotides) under Olea europaea subsp. europaea. The record is from RNAcentral. Lineage: Eukaryota; Viridiplantae; Streptophyta; Magnoliopsida; Lamiales; Oleaceae.
GAAAUCCUCUCUCCUACAGGAAAUUUGUUUGAUUUUUGAAGGUGUAUAUAUAUUGCCUCCUAUCCUAGUUUCCAGAUUACAAAACUUCUAAAUCAACAAGGACACGGAAAUACUUAAAUUCUACAAUUUGCAGCAGAAUGCUCAAAAUUUUCUCAGAUCCCAAUUCUAUAUUCUCUGUUUUAAGGUAUUGGUCACUUAAUUCAAUUCUGUUUUCUUGCCUUUAAAAAGAAUCUUUAUGUUGAACAUAAAUCGGUAAAUCCACGCUUCAGAAAAGCGAUACUGAAAUACAUCUUUUUUUAUCAAUCAUACGUAUAUUUCAGUAUAGUAGUAGAACAGGUAUAAUCUUUUUUCAUACUUCUUUUGCAGCAGACAUGGCAGAUUGGACUGAACUUCCAUUUGACAUUUUGGGUGUCAUAGCAGAAAGAUCUCAUUCCAUGGAGGAUUUUAUUUUCUUUGGAGCUGUUUGUAAAUCAUGGAAAUCAAGUACUUUAAUACUAGAGAGAAGACCUCCAUUGCCUAUUAGAUAUCUGAUGCGGACAUCAUCCUCAUCGGGCCAUUUUGUUAGGUCAUUUUAUCUUCUAUUUAUUUAUUUUGGACUUUAUGUCUCAUUGGGCUUGUAUAUGGGUUUGGCCCAAGCCCAAUUUUAUUAUUUUGUUAUUUAUAUUAUUGUAAUUGGGAUUGAAAGUUUAGUUGAUGAAUGAAAGACAUUUUCUUUAAUGGUUUGUCCACGUCUCUUCCCUCUCCCUCACUUUCCCCUCUCCUUUUCUCUUCUUCUUCCUCCUCUCUGCCUUUCCCUUCUUUCGGUGCUGCCUAAUUCUUCUUCUCAAGUGAUUUUACAUCAAUUCUUGGUAUCAGAGCAAAACCUGAUUUUCUUUAUCAAUCUACUGUUUAACUUGCAGUAUGAAACAUUUGGAAACAGUCGAUAUCAAGAUUCCGUGAAUACAUUAAUCUAUGCCCUUAGCCAAACAACAUGCUCCAUGCUAGAAAAUCUCGACUACUGAACACUUCAUCUUUGUCUACAAACACCACCGACAACAACCACUGGCACACAAUAUCGACAUUACCCACCUGUGUUGCUACCUUGGUCGGGGAGCAGGUCCCCUCUCUGUGACUGCUACUGCAACUCAUAACCACAUCCCUUUUACAACUUCCAACCACUCGUAAUUCGAUCAACCCCGGAACAACCUACCAACUAUGUGCUUUCAACAGCCACUCACAAAACAAAAAAAUAACCGCCCCCAAUCAUUUAAACCAUAAUAACCCACCUCACAGUCAACCACCAAAAGCUCGUUUUCACAAACGAUAACCACCUCUCAAGCAAUGAUCUGACCCCAAGCUUCCCAACAACGCCCAACAGCCUAUCCCUCAUAAGUCCAUCAUCUAGAAUCGUUGCCUUUCAAUAACCCACCUACCUUCAUCCGCAGACACCAUAAAAGCAUCCUUGCCUCAACUGGACAGCCCCGAUCGACCCCCGCCGUCGACUUUCUUCCAGCAUCAACAAAAGCCCACAGAAAUCUCAUUGACUGCAUUUUCGCAACUACAGAAAAUCCACACCGUUAGCCACUUCAUUGUCGGAAGACACCCGCCCCACCACCUCAAGUUCCGUCGCCACCUCUGAUGAUGAGCAACCCGCGACGCCGAAACGCCCACCUCCCCAUCGCCUCCUCCAAUUGUAGAUGUUGUUUGGGCUUUAGUCUCUAGUUCUUGCUUUUAUUUUUAUUUUGGGCCUAUAUAGGGGAAUGAUUGCUAGUUUGGGGCCUUAGCUUGUAACCUGUUUGAUAUUAAAAAAAAAAAAGGAGUAAAAAAAAAAAGAAGAAGA